UACCGCAUCGUGCAAGAUGCUGCCGCAUAGGCUGGUCGCGACGUCCCCGCAUAUUCGACGCGUAGGGCUGGGAGCCGUGCAUCCUCACACGUUCAGGAAGCGGGCUCCACCAGGGGCCCGUUUCUUUUUGUGGGAG
This 136-nucleotide transfer RNA is filed under the name Maritimibacter alkaliphilus HTCC2654. RNAcentral describes it as "tRNA-Ala". The record is from RNAcentral. Lineage: Bacteria; Pseudomonadati; Pseudomonadota; Alphaproteobacteria; Rhodobacterales; Roseobacteraceae.